AAAUUGAAGAGUUUGAUCAUGGCUCAGAUUGAACGCUGGCGGCAGGCCUAACACAUGCAAGUCGAACGGUAACAGGAAGCAGCUUGCUGCUUUGCUGAUGAGUGGCGGACGGGUGAGUAAUGUCUGGGAAACUGCCUGAUGGAGGGGGAUAACUACUGGAAACGGUGGCUAAUACCGCAUAACGUCGCAAGACCAAAGAGGGGGACCUUCGGGCCUCUUGCCAUCAGAUGUGCCCAGAUGGGAUUAGCUUGUUGGUGAGGUAACGGCUCACCAAGGCGACGAUCCCUAGCUGGUCUGAGAGGAUGACCAGCCACACUGGAACUGAGACACGGUCCAGACUCCUACGGGAGGCAGCAGUGGGGAAUAUUGCACAAUGGGCGCAAGCCUGAUGCAGCCAUGCCGCGUGUAUGAAGAAGGCCUUCGGGUUGUAAAGUACUUUCAGCGGGGAGGAAGGUGUUGUGGUUAAUAACCACAGCAAUUGACGUUACCCGCAGAAGAAGCACCGGCUAACUCCGUGCCAGCAGCCGCGGUAAUACGGAGGGUGCAAGCGUUAAUCGGAAUUACUGGGCGUAAAGCGCACGCAGGCGGUCUGUCAAGUCGGAUGUGAAAUCCCCGGGCUCAACCUGGGAACUGCAUUCGAAACUGGCAGGCUUGAGUCUUGUAGAGGGGGGUAGAAUUCCAGGUGUAGCGGUGAAAUGCGUAGAGAUCUGGAGGAAUACCGGUGGCGAAGGCGGCCCCCUGGACAAAGACUGACGCUCAGGUGCGAAAGCGUGGGGAGCAAACAGGAUUAGAUACCCUGGUAGUCCACGCCGUAAACGAUGUCUACUUGGAGGUUGUGCCCUUGAGGCGUGGCUUCCGGAGCUAACGCGUUAAGUAGACCGCCUGGGGAGUACGGCCGCAAGGUUAAAACUCAAAUGAAUUGACGGGGGCCCGCACAAGCGGUGGAGCAUGUGGUUUAAUUCGAUGCAACGCGAAGAACCUUACCUGGUCUUGACAUCCACAGAACUUUCCAGAGAUGGAUUGGUGCCUUCGGGAAC
RNAcentral lists this ribosomal RNA (1037 nucleotides) under Salmonella enterica. Its description in RNAcentral is "bacterial SSU rRNA". It matches the Rfam family "Bacterial small subunit ribosomal RNA", at positions 1 to 1027 of the family's 1533-position model. Lineage: Bacteria; Pseudomonadati; Pseudomonadota; Gammaproteobacteria; Enterobacterales; Enterobacteriaceae. The record is from RNAcentral.